RNAcentral lists this transfer RNA (75 nucleotides) under Myroides odoratus. RNAcentral's name for it is "tRNA-Ala(ggc)". It matches the Rfam family "tRNA". From Rfam's summary of the family: Transfer RNA (tRNA) molecules are approximately 80 nucleotides in length. Lineage: Bacteria; Pseudomonadati; Bacteroidota; Flavobacteriia; Flavobacteriales; Flavobacteriaceae. The record is from RNAcentral. RNAcentral also lists the same sequence under 6 other names.
GGGGAUGUAGCUCAGUUGGCUAGAGUGCUUGACUGGCAGUCAAGAGGUCGUGGGUUCGAGCCCCAUCUUCUCCAC